Molecule: unclassified non-coding RNA, 336 nt
Filed under: soil metagenome
Description: partial contains 5.8S ribosomal RNA, internal transcribed spacer 2, and large subunit ribosomal RNA
Rfam family: 5.8S ribosomal RNA (bases 1-120)
Source: RNAcentral
GAUGAAGAACGUAGCGAAAUGCGAUACUUGGUGUGAAUUGCAGAAUUCAGUGAAUCAUCGAAUCUUUGAACGCACAUUGCGCCCCUUGGUAUUCCAUGGGGCAUGCCUGUUCGAGCGUCAUUUGUACCUUCAAGCUUUGCUUGGUGUUGGGUGUUUGUCUCGCCUUUGCGUGUAGACUCGCCUUAAAAUAAUUGGCAGCCGGCGUAUUGAUUUCGGAGCGCAGUACAUCUCGCGCUUUGCACUCAUAACGACAGCGUCCAAAAGUACAUUUUACACUCUUGACCUCGGAUCAGGUAGGGAUACCCGCUGAACUUAAGCAUAUCAAUAAGCGGAGGA